GCAGGUUUUCUUGCUCCUUUUAAGUAGGAGAAGCACUUCGCUAACCCUAGAGAAUAGGGUUCUUCACUCCCCACCGUAUGUUAGGGUGUAAAUAUUCCUUUUGACCUUUUGGGUUUCACUGAUCUUGGAGUUACUGAGUGAGGGAUGCAUUUGUGUGAUCUAAUUGAACUUAGUUGUGUGCCUUCGUGCAGGAUGGGCUCUAGGGACAGCCGGUGAAGAAGGAUAACUCAAGAAACAAGGAGCCGACCCUUUGGUUGUCAACCUCUCCUAAAGCUAUAAGAGAUUGAGACAUCAAAGUUUUGCCUUUGGUGGCAUAGUAUUUAUAUUAGUGUUUAGAAAUUAAGGAAAUUAUUAAUGAAAUGUUAUCCAUCCUAACUUUUAAAGGUUAAGGGAGUAUUUU
Molecule: unclassified non-coding RNA, 400 nt
Filed under: Hevea brasiliensis (rubber tree)
Lineage: Eukaryota; Viridiplantae; Streptophyta; Magnoliopsida; Malpighiales; Euphorbiaceae
Source: RNAcentral